GAUGAAUAAACCUUCAUUAUAUUCUCUUGUGUAUAUCAUCAGUCUCAACAUAUGAACCAGAUGUGAGCAUAUGAGUCCAUCCUGCCUCUGAGAGGUGAUCCCACACCCAUUCAAUAUGUGACCUUCCCACAGACAGAAGCUUCCUCAGUGAUGCCUAUGAGAUUCUUGAAAAUUACUCACCUCUUCAGUGGCUGCCAGUGUCCUCUCUGAGAUUACUCGAGCUUUGGAUAACCACCAUCCCUCCUUGUUAGAGCGCGCAGGCUGCACAGUGGUUUGUAAAACAGUUGGGAAGAAGACACAUUCCAUAAUUUGUGUCAUUGGUGUUGCGUUAGCCCCAGAAGCAGCGCUACUUGAAUCGAGUGCUCACUGCAUCUCAGUGUUUGUCAUUGGACACUGCCACCUGCUCUCUUUUAAAAGGAGCUAUUAAAGAACAUUGCACUGAAGCUGAUGACUUCAUUUUCAAAAAAUCCCUUCUUGUCCAAAAUAUUUGUAAGUGCAGAAAUCAUCUUUUUCUAAAAUUCUAAAAUCUGUCUGUAGUUACAUCAGAGGCUCCAUCCCAUAUUACUUUUCUGUAAAAAGCAAACAUUUAUUUACC
This 595-nucleotide long non-coding RNA is filed under the name Capra hircus (goat). Its description in RNAcentral is "lncRNA (ENSCHIG00010027130.1)". The record is from RNAcentral. Lineage: Eukaryota; Metazoa; Chordata; Mammalia; Artiodactyla; Bovidae.